GCCUCUGUGGCGAAAUUGGUAGACGCGACAGACUCAAAAUCUGUUUCUAGCAAUAGAGUGCUGGUUCAAGUCCGGCCAGAGGUACCA
Molecule: transfer RNA, 87 nt
Filed under: Alphaproteobacteria bacterium
Lineage: Bacteria; Pseudomonadati; Pseudomonadota; Alphaproteobacteria
Description: tRNA-Leu
Rfam family: tRNA
About the family: Transfer RNA (tRNA) molecules are approximately 80 nucleotides in length. Their secondary structure includes four short double-helical elements and three loops (D, anti-codon, and T loops). Further hydrogen bonds mediate the characteristic L-shaped molecular structure. tRNAs have two regions of fundamental functional importance: the anti-codon, which is responsible for specific mRNA codon recognition, and the 3' end, to which the tRNAs corresponding amino acid is attached (by aminoacyl-tRNA synthetases). tRNAs cope with the degeneracy of the genetic code in two manners: having more than one tRNA (with a specific anti-codon) for a particular amino acid; and 'wobble' base-pairing, i.e. permitting non-standard base-pairing at the 3rd anti-codon position.
Source: RNAcentral